This 2419-nucleotide long non-coding RNA is filed under the name Panax ginseng (ginseng). RNAcentral's name for it is "long non-coding RNA (PGIN_LNC012051)". Lineage: Eukaryota; Viridiplantae; Streptophyta; Magnoliopsida; Apiales; Araliaceae. The record is from RNAcentral.
UCUGUUGUCUCCAAAUCAAAAACAAAACUCAACCUCUGUUAGAUCUCUCCAAAACAAAUCGAAGUUGUUCGCUCCAAAAAAAAAAAACAAUCUCUGAAUCAAGCAACCUAGCUCGAAAAAAUCGAAUCAAGCAACACGGAGACCAAGAAUCAACAUAUCUCGACUUCGAUUCGGUAAACCCUUAACUAUUAUCCAUCAACUCGUUCUGGGUUUUGACCUUGGACGAUUUCUAGGUUUUAUGUGGCCCAUUUAAGUCUCUUCACAAUUUGGGUUUUUUAGAGGGUUUGUUCCUUGUGUUAUUUCAUCUUUCUUUCCCGCACGAACAUUGAAAUCUCUUUGUCUGCUCGAUAGCCAUUGCCAGUGUAUAAGAGGUACAAUUUUCUUAAUUAAUCAUUACACUUUUUUCCCCUCUCACUCUCUAGUUUCCUUAGUUAUUUACAGAAAAUUUUUAUUUUUAUUUUAUUGAUAAUCUUUCUCAAAAUUUCAGUUUACCUUUUUUUAUUCUUUCGAACUCAUGUUUUAUUAAUUUAUUUACUGCUAUAGAAUUGUGCCUGGUUCUACUUUUUCCCAAUUGAUUUCUUAUUCGUGUGUUAUAGAAAAGCUCCAAUCUUUGUUGUUUUAGUGAUUUUUCUUGUCAUUAGUAUGAUUACUAGGGAAAGUGGUAAAGGGCAUUGUUAUUAUUAUUCUAAAUUUCAUGCAUAUUUUUCGUGUUCAUGUAGUAUCAUAAAGUCUGAUUUUUUCUUCAUCUUUUCACAGAGUAUUGAUACUAUCUUUUCCAUUUGCAGAAAUUUGAUGUCAGUUUGAAAAGUAUAAAGUAAUUUCUAUUGUUACUUUCCCCAACUAAUAGUUGCAUGUUCUUUCUAAUUGUUCUUAUAAUGAUCAAAAUCCAUGUCUGGUUUUCGCACUUUCGCACUUUACAAACAAAUUCACAUUUACUUGAGCAAAUGUUACUAAUUGGUCAAAAUGUCAACCAAUACCCAACAUUCAAACAACCCAGAAGAGAAAAUUGAACAAAUCCCAGAUAACAAAUUCGACCCAUCAUGCUAAUCAAAAAAAGAAAUCGACCCAUCAACAGUUGAAUUAAAUUGCAUACAUACAUAGAAUCCACUCCUUGGUAUUUGUGCCAGUAGACCAAUGACUCCGAAGGUCUGUCUAGAAUAUGUUCGCCAUUUUGAGAAGGAGCUUCUUGAGAGAUACCCUUCACUUUGUAGGGCAAAGAUUUCACCCUUGGCUCCAGCUCUACCUCCAUUUUCCCUUUCUUUCUCUCUACAAUCUCUCUCUCUCUAUAUAUAUGUAUAGAUAUAAGUAGAUAGUGUGUAAGUAGAAGGGUUCAGGUGUUGGAUUGAAUAUUCUGACUGGUUUCAUCUCGCAUAGCUCCUAAUCUAGUUGAUGAGGAUCUGCUGAUUUGGGACUUCUAGGUUUGUGAUAACGGAGCUUUAAGAGAUCUGAUACUUGAAACCAAAGGAUGGAAAGAAUCCGAAAUUCGGAAAAGGAAUCGACUGAAAGUGGAAGAAGAGGAAGAGGUGAGAAGUAAACCGAAGAUGAAGCGGAGGAAAAUAAAUCGGAAAGGAAUCGAAUGAGGGUUAAUUGAGGAGAUGGAAGAGCGGGGAAGGGGAAGAUGUGAUAUAUGAGAGGAGGAAUAACCGAGCUAACUCUUAAUUAAUUAAAAGUUGCUGAGUGAAUUUUUCAAUUGAUAACUGAGUUUUUUAAUUAAAAGGAUCGCCUUACGUCCCUUUAUAUAUAGGUAUUGAUAGUUGAUUGAUGGACUCGAUUAGAAAUUAAUUUUACAAUUUUACUUCCUGUGUGGAAAAAAAAGUCGAUCAUUAAAAUCUUUCUGUUAUGCAUAAGAAUAACCCGCCUUAAACUUUGCUAAUUUUUUUUAUCACAAAUAUUAUGAAUAUAAAAAAACAUGUAAUUUUAAUAAGUUAAAAGUAUUUAAAGUAAGGCUUUAAUAUAAAUAACUAUCAUGAAUUAUUAACAUUUUUUCAUCUCGGUGAUCAAACAAUUCAAUUUUUUCAAUUAGAUCAUUAAAUUAACAUUUUUUUCUUCACUUUUGUUCAAUUGAACAUGUCACGUCAUAAAUUGAUGGCGUGAACCCUUGAUUAGGCUAAUCAAUGUCCACGCUUAAUUAAAAAUUAGGCUUAAAUAUAAAUUAUUACCCUGAAGUAUUGACUUUUUUUAUUUUGGUGAUCGAUCUUUCAAUUUUUUUCACUUUAGUUCAAUUGAAGUUGAAGAUGGUGGGUUCACAGAGGCAGAAUGGUGAGAGUUAUUUACUUUUUAAUUACUAGUUUUUAAUUGGUUUUCUCCAUUAACUAAGAGCUCAAUUACAUGGAAAGUGAUUGUGUAAAAUUUGUUCUAAUAAUUUAAUACCAUUUUUUAUUUUGUGGAAAAAAAAUAGUUAAUGAUAGUUGCAAGUAAG